Molecule: ribosomal RNA, 555 nt
Filed under: uncultured Bacteroidota bacterium
Lineage: Bacteria; Pseudomonadati; Bacteroidota
Description: bacterial SSU rRNA
Rfam family: Bacterial small subunit ribosomal RNA
Source: RNAcentral
GACACGGACCAGACUCCUACGGGAGGCAGCAGUAAGGAAUAUUGGUCAAUGGGCGCAAGCCUGAACCAGCCAUGCCGCGUGCAGGAAGACGGCCCUAUGGGUUGUAAACUGCUUUUGUCGGGGAAUAAACCUCAUUACGUGUAAUGAGUUGAAGGUACCCGAAGAAUAAGGAUCGGCUAACUCCGUGCCAGCAGCCGCGGUAAUACGGAGGAUCCAAGCGUUAUCCGGAUUUAUUGGGUUUAAAGGGUGCGUAGGCGGUUUAUUAAGUCAGUGGUGAAAGCCCGGAGCUCAACUUCGGAACUGCCAUUGAAACUGAUAGACUUGAGUACAGAUGAAGUGGGCGGAAUGUGACAAGUAGCGGUGAAAUGCUUAGAUAUGUCACAGAACACCGAUUGCGAAGGCAGCUCACUAAAGUGUAACUGACGCUGAGGCACGAAAGCGUGGGGAUCAAACAGGAUUAGAUACCCUGGUAGUCCACGCCCUAAACGAUGGAUGCUAGCCGUUGGCGGGUUUACCCGUCAGUGGCGCAGCUAACGCUUUAAGCAUCCCGCCUGG